GCGUGACGCCGGGCCCCUCUGGCGGUGAGUUUUCUCACCGUGAUGUCGGAGUCACUGA
This is a non-coding RNA of Pseudomonas sp. 63_8, 58 nucleotides long. The record is from Rfam. Lineage: Bacteria; Pseudomonadati; Pseudomonadota; Gammaproteobacteria; Pseudomonadales; Pseudomonadaceae.